CAAUAGCGUAUAUUUAAGUUGUUGCAGUUAAAAAGCUCGUAGUUGGAUUUCGGUUAAGAGCGACCGGUCCGCCGUUUGGUGUGCACUGGUUGGUUUUAACUUCCUGUAGAGGACGUGCUCUGGGUUUAACGACCUGGACUCGGAGUCUACGUGGUUACUUUGAAAAAAUUAGAGUGUUCAAAGCGGGCUUACGCUUGAAUAUUUCAGCAUGGAAUAACACUAUAGGACUCCUGUCCUAUUUCGUUGGUCUCGGGACGGGAGUAAUGAUUAAGAGGAACAGUUGGGGGCAUUCGUAUUUCAUUGUCAGAGGUGAAAUUCUUGGAUUUAUGAAAGACGAACUUCUGCGAAAGCAUUUGCCAAGGAUGUUCNCAUUAA
RNAcentral lists this ribosomal RNA (375 nucleotides) under uncultured eukaryote. Its description in RNAcentral is "partial 18S ribosomal RNA". It matches the Rfam family "Eukaryotic small subunit ribosomal RNA", at positions 592 to 976 of the family's 1831-position model. The record is from RNAcentral.